GCCGUGAGGUGUUGGGUUAAGUCCCGCAACGAGCGCAACCCUCACCCUAUGUUGCCAUCGGGUUAUGCCGGGCACUCUUAGGGAACUGCCGGCGAAGAGCUGGAGGAAGGGGGGGAUGACGUCAAGUCCGUAUGCCCCUUAUGUCCAGGGCUACACACAUGCUACAAUGGCCGGUACAGAGGGUUCCCAACCCGCGAGGGGGAGGCAAUCCCACAAAGCCGGUCUCAGUUCGGAUUGCAGGCUGCAACUCGCCUGCAUGAAGUCGGAAUCGCUAGUAAGCGCAGAUCAGCAGGCUGCGCUGAAUACGUUCCCGGGCCUUGUACACACCGCCCGUCACACCACGAAAGCUGGUUGUACCAGAAGUCGCUGAGCUAACCGCAAGGAAGCAGGCGCCGAAGGUAUGGUCGGUGAUUGGGGUGAAGUCGUAACAAGGUAGCCGUAGGGGAACCUGCGGCUGGAUCACCUCCUUUCUAAGGAGCUUCGGAAGGGUCCGGGGAUCUUCGGAUCUCCGGGCCCUCCAACGCUCGAUCCUGUUGUCCUGCUCGAACUUCCUCGUCUGAGCCAGUGACAUAUUUUUCUUCUGGGCCUUUAGCUCAGCUGGCUAGAGCGCGCGCUUGAUAAGCGCGAGGUCCCUGGUUCGACCCCAGGAAGGCCCACCAGAAUGGCAGGAUGGGGAUGUAGCUCAGUUGGGAGAGCACCUGCUUUGCAAGCAGGGGGUCGCCGGUUCGACUCCGGUCAUCUCCACCAUCGCCGAAUGCGACGAGAAACCUUGUGCGGCCUUUCGGCCGCGAGGUUCUUUGACAAUCGAAUACGUUGAUUCUCGAGUGUAGCCAAGCGAUGUUCUCCGUAGAUUCGUGGUCAAGCUACUAAGGGCGAACGGUGGAUGCCUUGGCGCCAGGAAGCGAUGAAGGGCGUGGCUAGCUGCGAUAAGCCUCGGGGAGCCGCAAGCAGGCUUCGAUCCGAGGAUGC
RNAcentral lists this small RNA (969 nucleotides) under uncultured bacterium. RNAcentral describes it as "bacterial SSU rRNA". The stretch from base 1 to 470 matches the Rfam family "Bacterial small subunit ribosomal RNA", at positions 1064 to 1533 of the family's 1533-position model. The record is from RNAcentral.